UAGGGAAUCUUCGGCAAUGGACGAAAGUCUGACCGAGCAACGCCGCGUGAGUGAAGAAGGUUUUCGGAUCGUAAAACUCUGUUGUUAGAGAAGAACAAGGACGUUAGUAACUGAACGUCCCCUGACGGUAUCUAACCAGAAAGCCACGGCUAACUACGUGCCAGCAGCCGCGGUAAUACGUAGGUGGCAAGCGUUGUCCGGAUUUAUUGGGCGUAAAGCGAGCGCAGGCGGUUUCUUAAGGCUGAUGUGAAAGCCCCCGGCUCAACCGGGGAGGGUCAUUGGAAACUGGGAGACUUGAGGGCAGAAGAGGAGAGUGGAAUUCCAUGUGUAGCGGUGAAAUGCGUAGAUAUAUGGAGGAACACCAGUGGCGAAGGCGGUUCUCUGGUCUGUAACUGACGCUGAGGCUCGAAAGCGUGGGGAGCGAACAGG
This 429-nucleotide ribosomal RNA is filed under the name Gemmatimonadota bacterium. Its description in RNAcentral is "Gemmatimonadetes bacterium partial 16S ribosomal RNA". It matches the Rfam family "Bacterial small subunit ribosomal RNA", at positions 355 to 776 of the family's 1533-position model. Lineage: Bacteria; Pseudomonadati; Gemmatimonadota. The record is from RNAcentral.